This 249-nucleotide ribosomal RNA is filed under the name Helix cincta. RNAcentral's name for it is "partial 16S ribosomal RNA". The record is from RNAcentral. Lineage: Eukaryota; Metazoa; Mollusca; Gastropoda; Stylommatophora; Helicidae.
UGCCGCAGUACAUUGACUGUGCAAAGGUAGCAUAAUCAGUUGGCUUUUAAUUAAAGUCUGGUAUGAAUGAAAAUAUGGGUAGUGACUGUCUUUAAUAUAUUAAUUUGAACUUAUUAAGCAAGUGCAAAUACUUGCACGUUUCAAAAAGACGAGAAGACCCUAGAAACUUGGAAUAGUUUUUGUUGGGGCGACARAAUUACAUUUAACUAAUUUUAAAUACAUGACAUUGAAUUGAAAGAAUAAGUUACU